RNAcentral lists this long non-coding RNA (813 nucleotides) under Rattus norvegicus (Norway rat). RNAcentral describes it as "long non-coding RNA NONRATT025479". Lineage: Eukaryota; Metazoa; Chordata; Mammalia; Rodentia; Muridae. The record is from RNAcentral.
CUUGCUGAACUAAAGCAAGAAUGCCUUGCUCGUGGUUUAGAGACCAAGGGAAUAAAACAAGAUCUUAUCAAUAGGCUCCAGGCAUAUCUUGAAGAACAUGCUGAAGAAGAAGCAAAUGAAGAAGAUGUACUGGGAGAUGAAACUGAGGAAGAAGAACCAAAGCCUAUAGAACUGCCUGUUAAAGAGGAAGAACCUCCUGAAAAAGUUGUUGAUAUGGCAUCAGAAAAGAAGGUGGUAAAAAUUACAUCUGGAAUACCUCAAACUGAGAAUGCAGAAGAGGGCUGAACGUUUCAAUGUGCCUGUAAGCUUGGAGAGUAAGAAGGCUGCUCGGGCAGCGAGGUUUGGAAUUUCUUCAGUUCCAACAAAAGGUUUAUCAUCUGACACCAAGCCAAUGGUUAACCUGGAUAAACUAAAGGAAAGAGCACAGAGAUUUGGUUUGAAUGUCUCUUCCAUCUCUAGAAAGUCUGAGGAUGAUGAGAAGCUGAAGAAACGGAAGGAGAGAUUUGGAAUUGUGACAAGUUCAGCUGGAACUGGAACCACAGAGGAUACAGAGGUUCAAGUGCUGGAUUGUGUCAUGUGACUGUCCCAAAACUCAGAGCACCCUUUGGCCAUCUUUGCCCUCUGUCACAUAACUUGAAAACUGCCUGAUGGCCUUUUUGCAAUGGUUCCUUCCUGGAAACCUUGAUCUUGUUGAAGAAGUCCUUUCCUGGUAUUCCAGUGCCCCUGUCAGCCCAUACUCCUCAGACACCCUUAACAAAGGCAAUCACACACAUGAUGUAACAAAUACACAAAAUAAAGAGUUACACUAAUAAU